Long non-coding RNA from Canis lupus familiaris (dog), 471 nucleotides. RefSeq lists it as uncharacterized. The record is from RefSeq and is a predicted model, not a curated record. Lineage: Eukaryota; Metazoa; Chordata; Mammalia; Carnivora; Canidae. The transcript has 4 exons.
CAAAGAUCCAACAGUUGAUGUCAUUAUUGUAGGAUUCCUUGAUGAACUCGAAAACUCUUUACUAAGCUGUUACCCAGAAUAAACAACUGGAUGAGGAGGAGGACUGGAGGCACCCUGAUACAUCUCUAUCAACUGACAACCUCGUCAGCAACCAUGUGAUGGUAGCAGCUUUCAAUCAGUAGCAGGGCGUUACAAUGUAUGAAGACCAUUUAUCUCAUUUGAGGAGACAGAAAGGUGCUUGUGGCUAACCCACAGUUGCUACUGUACUGUGCAAAGUCACUCUCUAUGUGGUACAGCAGCAGGUCAUCACUCCAAUGAUGCUCACAACACCUGGGGAAGGGAGGAACAGGUAAAGCCAUUACCCGAAGAGUAUGGAUUAAGAUCACAGUCCCACAGUGAAGUCACAGUAUUCCAAGCAUUUUUGAUGCUUCUCAACUUUAUGCCUUCCUCCAGGAAGUUUGGGUAAAAUAA